UAAAUAUAAGUAAUUAAACCGUAGACAGUAAGUAACCGCAAGGUUAUAAAUCGCAAGAGCUUACCGAGGUGAACAAAAAAAGACUACAAACUGUUUUUUUUGCGACCUCUCGAGCUUUCGGAGGUCGCUUUGUUUUACGGGUUA
This is a non-coding RNA of Firmicutes bacterium CAG:552, 144 nucleotides long. The record is from Rfam. Lineage: Bacteria; Bacillati; Bacillota.